Molecule: transfer RNA, 73 nt
Organism: Ovis aries (sheep)
Lineage: Eukaryota; Metazoa; Chordata; Mammalia; Artiodactyla; Bovidae
Rfam family: tRNA
About the family: Transfer RNA (tRNA) molecules are approximately 80 nucleotides in length.
Source: Rfam
UCCCCGGUGGUCGAGUGGCUAAGACACCAUGCUUCCAAAACCGGGGCCCUGGGUUCGAUCCCUGGUUGGGGAG